CGUACACUCCUGCGGGAGGCAGCAGUGGGGAAUAUUGGACAAUGGGCGCAAGCCUGAUCCAGCCAUGCCGCGUGAGUGAUGAAGGCCCUAGGGUUGUAAAGCUCUUUCACCGGUGAAGAUAAUGACGGUAACCGGAGAAGAAGCCCCGGCUGACUUCGUGCCAGCAGCCGCGGUAAUACGAAGGGGGCUAGCGUUGUUCGGAUUUACUGGGCGUAAAGCGCACGUAGGCGGACUAUUAAGUCAGGGGUGAAAUCCCGGGGCUCAACCCCGGAACUGCCUUUGAUACUGGUAGUCUUGAGUUCGAGAGAGGUGAGUGGAAUUCCGAGUGUAGAGGUGAAAUUCGUAGAUAUUCGGAGGAACACCAGUGGCGAAGGCGGCUCACUGGCUCGAUACUGACGCUGAGGUGCGAAAGCGUGGGGAGCAAACAGGAUUAGAUACCCCGGUAGUCCCAUG
RNAcentral lists this ribosomal RNA (453 nucleotides) under uncultured organism. RNAcentral describes it as "partial 16S ribosomal RNA". It matches the Rfam family "Bacterial small subunit ribosomal RNA", at positions 330 to 799 of the family's 1533-position model. The record is from RNAcentral.